GCGUAACACGUGAGCAACCUGCUUUGGUGGUGGGGGAGUAGCCGGGCUAACGCCCCGGGGUAAUACCGCAUACGGUUGCCGAGGGGAGUCCCUUGGCAAAGAAACCUCCGGGGCACAGAGAGGGGCUCGCGGCCUAUCAGCUAGUUGGUGAGGUAAUGGCUCACCAAGGCGACGACGGGUAGCUGGUCUGAGAGGAUGGCCAGCCACAUUGGGACUGAGAUACGGCCCAG
This 230-nucleotide ribosomal RNA is filed under the name uncultured bacterium. Its description in RNAcentral is "partial 16S ribosomal RNA". It matches the Rfam family "Bacterial small subunit ribosomal RNA", at positions 108 to 334 of the family's 1533-position model. The record is from RNAcentral.